GACGAACGCUGGCGGCGUGCUUAACACAUGCAAGUCGAACGAGACGAUUGAAAGCUUGCUUUCGAAAGUCGAGUGGCAAACGGGUGAGUAACGCGUAGACAACCUGCCUUUGAGAUGGGGACAACAGUUCGAAAGGACUGCUAAUACCGAAUGUUGUAUAUUUUCCACAUGGAAGAUAUAUUAAAGAUGGCCUCUAUUUAUAAGCUAUCGCUCAAAGAUGGGUCUGCGUCUGAUUAGCUGGUUGGUGGGGUAACGGCCUACCAAGGCGACGAUCAGUAGCCGGUCUGAGAGGAUGAACGGCCACAUUGGGACUGAGACACGGCCCAGACUCCUACGGGAGGCAGCAGUGGGGAAUCUUCCACAAUGGACGAAAGUCUGAUGGAGCAACGCCGCGUGAGUGAAGAAGGGUUUCGGCUCGUAAAGCUCUGUUGUCGGGGACGAAUGUGCAGUAUUUGAAUAAAGUACUGUAAUGACGGUACCUGACGAGGAAGCCACGGCUAACUACGUGCCAGCCGCCGCGGUAA
This 524-nucleotide ribosomal RNA is filed under the name uncultured bacterium. RNAcentral describes it as "partial 16S ribosomal RNA". It matches the Rfam family "Bacterial small subunit ribosomal RNA", at positions 28 to 523 of the family's 1533-position model. The record is from RNAcentral.